This 487-nucleotide ribosomal RNA is filed under the name uncultured bacterium. Its description in RNAcentral is "bacterial SSU rRNA". It matches the Rfam family "Bacterial small subunit ribosomal RNA", at positions 30 to 507 of the family's 1533-position model. The record is from RNAcentral.
AUUGAACGCUGGCGGCAUGCCUUACACAUGCAAGUCGAACGGCAGCACGGGUGCUUGCACCUGGUGGCGAGUGGCGAACGGGUGAGUAAUAUAUCGGAACGUACCUUAUCGUGGGGGAUAACGCAGCGAAAGCUGCGCUAAUACCGCAUACGCCCUGAGGGGGAAAAGCGGGGGGACCGUAAGGCCUCGCGCGAUUAGAGCGGCCGAUAUCUGAUUAGCUUGUUGGUGGGGUAAAAGCCCACCAAGGCGACGAUCAGUAGCUGGUCUGAGAGGACGAUCAGCCACACUGGGACUGAGACACGGCCCAGACUCCUACGGGAGGCAGCAGUGGGGAAUUUUGGACAAUGGGGGCAACCCUGAUCCAGCAAUGCCGCGUGAGUGAAGAAGGCCUUCGGGUUGUAAAGCUCUUUUGUCAGGGAAGAAACAGCAGCUCUAACACAGUCUGCGAAUGACGGUACCUGAAGAAUAAGCACCGGCUAACUACGUG